AUGGCAGACCUAUUCAGGAGGUGGAAGAAUGAGAUGAAAACGUUUGUCGACAAAGAAGAGACACCAGAAUUCAUCGGCAAAUAUGAGAAUAUCAGAGAUCACUGGCCUGCAUUUGUGGCCCACAAGACAUUGGAAAAGAGUAAGAAGUUGUCAGCGACAAACAAGAAAAAUGCUGCGAAGAAGAAGCUUCACCAUCGCACGGGGUCAGGUGGCUACCUCAAAGCCCGGCCUAAGUGGGCCAAGGCUGAGAAUGAUCUGCUUGAUAAAGGGAUCGAACCAGAGACAAUGAACUGGCCAGACCGUUGCCGGACUUGGUUCUUCGGGUCUGGCGGAACCUUGGACCCUGUACCAGGGAAGUGCAUUUGGACGGACGAGCAAAUGAGAAUACCAGUCAAGAGGCUUCAGCACUAUAUCGAUGCAGCGCAGCAAGGGACGUUCGUUCCAGACAGAGAGAACGACGAGCUCAGAAUGGCCCUCGGGAAUCCUGAGCACCCUGGACGGACACGAGGCACGCCAGGCUCCGUUCCGUGGAAGGCUGGUUUUCCGGACGAAGGCGGUUACAAAUGCCAGGAGAGGAGGAAAAAAGUGGAGCAGACCCAAAUUCAGAAGCUGCACGAAAGGGUUCAAGCGCUAGAGGAACGAGACGUAGCUCGCAGCAAGCGACCUGCUGAAACUACCCCCGAAGCUACCCCGCCAUCUCGGCGGAGAAGCAGCGUGGCUUCCAUCGAGCUGCUUCAGCCGGAGCAUGUCUUGACGGCUCCUGCUAGCUACCCCGUGGAUGCUAUCACGGAGUCUCAACAUUGCCACAUUAUGACGCAAUGGCAGAACUUCAAAGUCAAGGCGGCUGUCGGCUCUGUUCGACCUCCUGAACCCGGCGCAACUUUUCGCUGUCGUCCGAUUCCAGAAGGAUAUGCUAGGGUGACGAUGGACGAAAUAACGGAGGGAUUUGAGGACCUCCCGCUUGACCACCCUACCGGUGAAGGGGCGACUCGGCUGGGUUCUGCUCUGAAAACUCCAUGCCUAUGGCGGAAGGAGCUCAUCAACCUUCCGAACUGGACGCCUCCGCCUCCUCCUCCUCCUCCAGCGAGUAAGGGCACUCCGCCUCCUCCUCUGCCUCCUCCUCCGGCGCGUGAUCAGGGCACUCAGCCUCCUUCUCCGGCGCCUGGUGGCACUCCACCUCCUCCUCCGGCGAGUGAUCAGGGCACUCAGCCUCCUUCUCCGGCGCGUGGCGGCACUCCGCCUCCUUCUUCGCCUACGCCGGCGCGCCCGAGCAGCCAGCCUCCUUCCUUCUCUUCCGCCUCGUAA
RNAcentral lists this ribosomal RNA (1305 nucleotides) under Triticum aestivum (bread wheat). RNAcentral's name for it is "partial small subunit ribosomal RNA". The record is from RNAcentral. Lineage: Eukaryota; Viridiplantae; Streptophyta; Magnoliopsida; Poales; Poaceae.